AAAUUGAAGAGUUUGAUCAUGGCUCAGAUUGAACGCUGGCGGCAGGCCUAACACAUGCAAGUCGAACGGUAACAGGAAGCAGCUUGCUGCUUCGCUGACGAGUGGCGGACGGGUGAGUAAUGUCUGGGAAACUGCCUGAUGGAGGGGGAUAACUACUGGAAACGGUGGCUAAUACCGCAUAACGUCGCAAGACCAAAGAGGGGGACCUUCGGGCCUCUUGCCUCAGCCAUCAGAUGUGCCCAGAUGGGAUUAGCUUGUUGGUGAGGUAACGGCUCACCAAGGCGACGAUCCCUAGCUGGUCUGAGAGGAUGACCAGCCACACUGGAACUGAGACACGGUCCAGACUCCUACGGGAGGCAGCAGUGGGGAAUAUUGCACAAUGGGCGCAAGCCUGAUGCAGCCAUGCCGCGUGUAUGAAGAAGGCCUUCGGGUUGUAAAGUACUUUCAGCGGGGAGGAAGGUGUUGUGGUUAAUAACCGCAGCAAUUGACGUUACCCGCAGAAGAAGCACCGGCUAACUCCGUGCCAGCAGCCGCGGUAAUACGGAGGGUGCAAGCGUUAAUCGGAAUUACUGGGCGUAAAGCGCACGCAGGCGGUCUGUCAAGUCGGAUGUGAAAUCCCCGGGCUCAACCUGGGAACUGCAUUCGAAACUGGCAGGCUUGAGUCUUGUAGAGGGGGGUAGAAUUCCAGGUGUAGCGGUGAAAUGCGUAGAGAUCUGGAGGAAUACCGGUGGCGAAGGCGGCCCCCUGGACAAAGACUGACGCUCAGGUGCGAAAGCGUGGGGAGCAAACAGGAUUAGAUACCCUGGUAGUCCACGCCGUAAACGAUGUCUACUUGGAGGUUGUGCCCUUGAGGCGUGGCUUCCGGAGCUAACGCGUUAAGUAGACCGCCUGGGGAGUACGGCCGCAAGGUUAAAACUCAAAUGAAUUGACGGGGGCCCGCACAAGCGGUGGAGCAUGUGGUUUAAUUCGAUGCAACGCGAAGAACCUUACCUGGUCUUGACAUCCACAGAACUUUCCAGAGAUGGAUUGGUGCCUUCGGGAACUGUGAGACAGGUGCUGCAUGGCUGUCGUCAGCUCGUGUUGUGAAAUGUUGGGUUAAGUCCCGCAACGAGCGCAACCCUUAUCCUUUGUUGCCAGCGGUCCGGCCGGGAACUCAAAGGAGACUGCCAGUGAUAAACUGGAGGAAGGUGGGGAUGACGUCAAGUCAUCAUGGCCCUUACGACCAGGGCUACACACGUGCUACAAUGGCGCAUACAAAGAGAAGCGACCUCGCGAGAGCAAGCGGACCUCAUAAAGUGCGUCGUAGUCCGGAUUGGAGUCUGCAACUCGACUCCAUGAAGUCGGAAUCGCUAGUAAUCGUGGAUCAGAAUGCCACGGUGAAUACGUUCCCGGGCCUUGUACACACCGCCCGUCACACCAUGGGAGUGGGUUGCAAAAGAAGUAGGUAGCUUAACCUUCGGGAGGGCGCUUACCACUUUGUGAUUCAUGACUGGGGUGAAGUCGUAACAAGGUAACCGUAGGGGAACCUGCGGUUGGAUCACCUCCUUA
This 1548-nucleotide ribosomal RNA is filed under the name Salmonella enterica subsp. enterica serovar Thompson. Its description in RNAcentral is "bacterial SSU rRNA". It matches the Rfam family "Bacterial small subunit ribosomal RNA". The record is from RNAcentral. Lineage: Bacteria; Pseudomonadati; Pseudomonadota; Gammaproteobacteria; Enterobacterales; Enterobacteriaceae.